Molecule: ribosomal RNA, 253 nt
Filed under: uncultured bacterium
Lineage: Bacteria
Description: partial 16S ribosomal RNA
Rfam family: Bacterial small subunit ribosomal RNA
Source: RNAcentral
UACGGAAGGUCCAGGCGUUAUCCGGAUUUAUUGGGUUUAAAGGGAGCGUAGGCGGACGAUUAAGUCAGCUGUGAAAGUUUGCGGCUCAACCGUAAAAUUGCAGUUGAAACUGGUUGUCUUGAGUGCACGCAGGGAUGUUGGAAUUCAUGGUGUAGCGGUGAAAUGCUUAGAUAUCAUGAAGAACUCCGAUCGCGAAGGCAUAUGUCUGGAGUGCAACUGACGCUGAGGCUCGAAAGUGCGGGUAUCGAACAGG